GAUUCCCUCAGUAAGGGCGACUGAAGCGGGAAUAGCUCACCGUGUGAAUCUGUACAAGUUUAUCUUGUGCCGAGUUGUGGUCUGUAGAAGUAUUGUCAGUCAGCGUUUCGGGCCAAGUCCUUUGGAAAAAGGCAGCUGAGAGGGUGAGACUCCCGUUCUUGCCUGCGACGUUUGACUAUGGCACAUGCCUUCGACGAGUCGAGUUGUUUGGGAUUGCAGCUCAAAGUGGGUGGUAAAUUCCAUCUAAAGCUAAAUAUUGGUGGGAGACCGAUAGCGUACAAGUACCGUGAGGGAAAGAUGCAAAGAACUUUGAAAAGAGAGUUAAAGAGUACCUGAAAUUGCUGAGAGGGAAGCGAAGGAAACCAGUGUUGUUUCUAUGUAUUUUUCUUCUGCAGCUUGCUGCAGUGGCGUGUGCAUAGGAGUAGGCCAGCAUGGGUUUGCAUCGGCAGAAAUCUCUGUGCAGGAGGCAGAUCUAUUUCGGAUCGAUUACUGUGCAGUGUUGUGCUGGUGUGGGCUGAGGCAAGCAUGUGUGAUGCUGGCGAAAUGGUUUUCUUUACCCCGUCUUGAAACACGGACCAAGGAGUUCAACAUAUGUGCGAGUAUAGGAGUGGCAAACUCCCAUGCGUAAUGAAAGUAACAGUGGUAGGACCUUCUGGGCACUAUCCGCCGGCCACAAUCCUUCGGGAGAAAGGUCUGAGUGUGAGCAUACAUGUUGGGACCCGAAAGAUGGUGAACUAUGCCUGAAUA
RNAcentral lists this ribosomal RNA (747 nucleotides) under Chaetoceros abnormis. RNAcentral's name for it is "Chaetoceros subtilis var. abnormis partial large subunit ribosomal RNA". It matches the Rfam family "Eukaryotic large subunit ribosomal RNA", at positions 73 to 843 of the family's 3401-position model. Lineage: Eukaryota; Bacillariophyta; Thalassiosirophyceae; Chaetocerotales; Chaetocerotaceae. The record is from RNAcentral.